Molecule: long non-coding RNA, 296 nt
Organism: Drosophila albomicans
Lineage: Eukaryota; Metazoa; Arthropoda; Insecta; Diptera; Drosophilidae
Exons: 2
Source: RefSeq, a predicted model, not a curated record
CUUUUAUUUAUUACUUAUUACUUAUAAGUUACUCGACUUGAAAUAAAUUUUGAAAAUUCGAACAUUUUUACUGUAACUAUCCGUUAUAUAUUUAUCUCCGAUGUUCAUAACUUUAAAAGGAUCUUUUCGGUCUACGGGUGCCCACAUCUCUGACUCUGUUUCCACACAGUUAGGAUUUCCAGUGCGAGCAAAAGUCGUAAUAAUUCCAAUUAAUCUUUGGAUAGUCAAUUUCCCAGCCUCACACAGAUGCUCACGUCUUCUUGGGAAUAUGAAGCCCAACUCAUCAGCAUGGCAAA